CAAUAGCGUAUAUUAAAGUUGUUGCAGUUAAAAAGCUCGUAGUUGGAUUUGUGGCGUACGGUGUGUUCCGGGCACUUGUUGUCUGAGUAACCUGCUGUUGCCAUCCUUGGGUGGAACCUGUGUGGCAUUAGGUUGUCGUGCAGGGGAUGCCCAUCAUUUACUGUGAAAAAAUUAGAGUGUUCAAAGCAGGCUUAUGCCGUUGAAUAUAUUAGCAUGGAAUAAUGAGAUAGGACUUUUUGCUAUUUUGUUGGUUUGCGCAAGAAGGUAAUGAUUAAUAGGGACAGUUGGGGGUAUUCGUAUUCCAUUGUCAGAGGUGAAAUUCUUGGAUUUUUGGAAGACGAACUACUGCGAAAGCAUUUACCAAGGAUGUUUUCAUUAA
Molecule: ribosomal RNA, 379 nt
Filed under: uncultured eukaryote
Lineage: Eukaryota
Description: partial 18S ribosomal RNA
Rfam family: Eukaryotic small subunit ribosomal RNA
Source: RNAcentral